This is a long non-coding RNA of Pan paniscus (pygmy chimpanzee), 636 nucleotides long. NCBI's taxonomy places the organism in Eukaryota, Metazoa, Chordata, Mammalia, Primates, Hominidae. The record is from Ensembl.
CACACAGCACGCUAGUUUAAAAGGGCUUAUUACCUUCCCUCACUCAGGGGCUCUGAUUCAGCAGUUCUCAUUGAACAUUUAGGAACUCAACUGCUCUUGUCCUUCCAGAUGUCAGCUGCUUGUCCUCUAUCCAAUUCUAUGUGAAAAUACAACAGAAACUUAUGGCAGAGAAUUACUGUGUAGUUACCAAGUCCUAUUUUAUUUUCCCUCUAGAAACACAGACCACAUUUCCCUCUGGCCUUAAAAUCAGUUGAACUAUGGAACUGAUUUCUGGACAGGAGUGAUCAAUGUCACACCCAGGCCAGGCCCAUAAGAAGACCCAGGCAAUCCUCUUUGCCCUCAACCUUUUCUCAUUUAUCAGCCAGAUGUAGACCAUGCAGAAGACAAUCUGAGAACACUGGAGAUAAGGGAAUUACUCAGUGCAAGGAGCUUCUACCUCUAAGUGACUGCCUGGGGCAGGUGCCCUGGCUCCAACAUGCUCUGGUCCAAAAAAAUCCCUACACACAGAAGUUAUCAAUCUGUCAAGAUAGCUCUGCAAAAUAAUCUGUUAUUAUUCUAUGCCCACCACAGCUGCUGGGGCCCCCUUCUGCAAAACUGAAAAGUCUUCAUCUGUUAUCUGCCACUGAAACUUGAAAG